GACGAACGCUGGCGGCGUGCUUAACACAUGCAAGUCGAGCGGUAAGGCCCUUUCGGGGGUACACGAGCGGCGAACGGGUGAGUAACACGUGGGUGACCUGCCCUCAGCUCUGGGAUAAGCCCGGGAAACUGGGUCUAAUACUGGAUAUGACUCCAUGACGCAUGUUGUGGGGUGGAAAGCCUUGUGCGGCUGAGGAUGGGCCCGCGGCCUAUCAGCUUGUUGGGGGGUGAUGGCCUACCAAGGCGACGACGGGUAGCCGGCCUGAGAGGGCGACCGGCCACACUGGGACUGAGACACGGCCCAGACUCCUACGGGAGGCAGCAGUAGGGAAUCUUCCGCAAUGGACGAAAGUCUGACGGAGCAACGCCGCGUGAGCGAAGAAGGCC
This 386-nucleotide ribosomal RNA is filed under the name uncultured bacterium. RNAcentral describes it as "bacterial SSU rRNA". It matches the Rfam family "Bacterial small subunit ribosomal RNA", at positions 28 to 416 of the family's 1533-position model. The record is from RNAcentral.